UAUUUUGAUGAAUAUUUAUCUGCUAUUAACAUAAUUCAUAUUACUAUAUAUUUUAGGAUAUGAAAUUUUACUUUGAGAAAAUUAGAGUGCUUAAAGCAGGCAUAUGCCUUGAAUACUCCAGCAUGGAAUAAUAUUAAAGAUUUUUAUCUUUCUUAUUGGUUCUAAGAUAAGAAUAAUGAUUAAUAGGGACAGUUGGGGGCAUUUGUAUUUAACAGUCAGAGGUGAAAUUCUUAGAUUUGUUAAAGACAAACUAAUGCGAAAGCAUUUGCCAAGGAUGUUUUCAUUAAUCAAGAACGAAAGUUAGGGGAUCGAAGACGAUCAGAUACCGUCGUAGUCUUAACCAUAAACUAUGCCAACUAGAGAUUGGAGGUUGUUCCUUACUCCUUCAGCACCUUAA
RNAcentral lists this ribosomal RNA (397 nucleotides) under Cryptosporidium parvum. RNAcentral's name for it is "SSU rRNA". It matches the Rfam family "Eukaryotic small subunit ribosomal RNA", at positions 685 to 1091 of the family's 1831-position model. The record is from RNAcentral. Lineage: Eukaryota; Apicomplexa; Conoidasida; Eucoccidiorida; Cryptosporidiidae.